CGCGAAGCCAGGCGAGCUACUACGAGGCGUAUGUAGUACACUAUAUGUGGCAUAAUAUCAGUAGAUCGUGUAGUAGGGGUGAGAGGCUAUCAAGUCUGUCGAUAUCUCGUUAACUUUGAGAUGUAUUUAGUACAAUGUCAGUUUGUUAGUGAUAAGGCUAGCAAAGGUUAUAUGAUUUAAUUACGAUUGACUACACAGUCUAAUCGCUAGUAGUUUGAGACUCUAAUAUUUAUAUUAGAUAGCAGUUGAGAAUAAAAGUUACUAUCAAACUUAUCCGAAAUGUUUUUACUGUAGGUAUUAGUAAUUAAGAUAUCGUUGAUGAACUCGGCAAUAUUUCCUUCACCUGUUUAUCAAAAACAUCGCCAUUAGCAGGCACUAUUGGUUAUUUCUGCUCCAUGUACUAUAAAUAGCCGCAGUACCCUGACUGUGCAAAGGUAGCAUAAUCAUUUGGCUUAUAAUUGAAGUCUGGUAUGAAUGAAUACAUGGGGGAAAACUCUAUUAGCGAUAAUAAAUGAAAUUACUUAGCGGGUGCAAAUGCCCACCGGAAAAUAAUAGACGAGAAGACCCUUGAAAUUUUGACAACGUGUAAGAUGUAGUUUUUGUUGGGGCAACAUAGUAGCAUUUAAUCUACAAUAGUAACCUGACAUGUAUUAGUAAGAUAAAAUUACUCUAGGGAUAACAGCGUAAUUUUUAAAAGUUUGCGACCUCGAUGUUGGACUAGGAAGCAGAUGCUUAGAA
This 738-nucleotide ribosomal RNA is filed under the name Amplirhagada moraniana. Its description in RNAcentral is "partial 16S ribosomal RNA". The record is from RNAcentral. Lineage: Eukaryota; Metazoa; Mollusca; Gastropoda; Stylommatophora; Camaenidae.